GGGCCCGUGGUCUAGUCUGGCUAUGACGUCGCUCUCACACGGCGAAACGAGGGCAACCUGCUCCCGCGUCAGAAUCCCCGGUCCGAGUCCGGGCGGGCCCA
RNAcentral lists this transfer RNA (101 nucleotides) under Nitrososphaerota archaeon. RNAcentral's name for it is "tRNA-Val". The record is from RNAcentral. Lineage: Archaea; Thermoproteati; Nitrososphaerota.